GUCCCACCCACAANCAGCAAAAGGUAAGCAUUAGCAGCAAACCCAAGGCCAUUUUANAGGAGAGACGAUCAUUCUUAUAUAGGGACAGCAAGAUCAUAGAGGAAAAUCAUUCCCUCCUCUUGCAAAGCAUUCUGCAUCCGAGAGCACGAGCAACUUCCCAUGUGCUAAAGUAGCCAAAAAGGCAUACCAAGUACACGACAGCCACUGUAUGGUUCAUCCAAUGCCACCUUUGACGGGGAAAAGAUGAAUAAUUUUAGGCAACAAAAUUAGAUUCCGCUAUGUGGGUAUGCAACACAGAAACCCAUCCUUGCCCGACAUAGCAACAUGCCUUCGGGAC
RNAcentral lists this unclassified non-coding RNA (337 nucleotides) under Euphorbia ankaranae. Its description in RNAcentral is "partial external transcribed spacer". Lineage: Eukaryota; Viridiplantae; Streptophyta; Magnoliopsida; Malpighiales; Euphorbiaceae. The record is from RNAcentral.